GACGAACGCUGACGGCGUGCUUAACACAUGCAAGUCGAACGGUGAAGCGCCUUCCUUUUUGGUGGGUGUGGAUGAGUGGCGAACGGGUGAGUAACACGUGAGUAACCUGCCCCCUUCUUCUGGAUAACCGCAUGAAAGUGUGGCUAAUACGGGAUAUUCUGGGUCUGUCGCAUGAUGGGUCUGGGAAAGAUAUUGUUUCGGUGGGGGAUGGGCUCGCGGCCUAUCAGCUUGUUGGUGGGGUGAUGGCCUACCAAGGCGGUGACGGGUAGCCGGCCUGAGAGGGUGGACGGUCACACUGGGACUGAGACACGGCCCAGACUCCUACGGGAGGCAGCAGGGGGGAAUAGUGCACAAUGGGCGCAAGCCUGAUGCAGCGACGCCGCGUGAGGGAUGGAGGCCUUCGGGUUGUGAACCUCUUUCGCCAGUGAAGCAGGCCUGCCUCGUUUGUGGGUGGGUUGACGGUAGCUGGAGAAGAAGCGCCGGCUAACUACGUG
This 494-nucleotide ribosomal RNA is filed under the name uncultured bacterium. Its description in RNAcentral is "partial 16S ribosomal RNA". It matches the Rfam family "Bacterial small subunit ribosomal RNA", at positions 28 to 507 of the family's 1533-position model. The record is from RNAcentral.